UACGAAGGGGGCUAGCGUUGCUCGGAAUUACUGGGCGUAAAGCGCACGUAGGCGGCUUCUUAAGUCGGUGGUGAAAUCCUGGAGCUCAACUCCAGAACUGCCUUCGAUACUGGAAAGCUCGAGUCCGGGAGAGGUGAGUGGAACUGCGAGUGUAGAGGUGAAAUUCGUAGAUAUUCGCAAGAACACCAGUGGCGAAGGCGGCUCACUGGCCCGGUACUGACGCUGAGGUGCGAAAGCGUGGGGAGCAAACAGG
This 253-nucleotide ribosomal RNA is filed under the name uncultured bacterium. RNAcentral's name for it is "partial 16S ribosomal RNA". It matches the Rfam family "Bacterial small subunit ribosomal RNA", at positions 524 to 776 of the family's 1533-position model. The record is from RNAcentral.